Molecule: transfer RNA, 88 nt
Filed under: Pseudomonadota bacterium
Lineage: Bacteria; Pseudomonadati; Pseudomonadota
Also listed under: 3 other names
Description: tRNA-Leu
Rfam family: tRNA
About the family: Transfer RNA (tRNA) molecules are approximately 80 nucleotides in length.
Source: RNAcentral
GCCGGAGUGGUGAAACUGGUAGACGCGCUGGACUCAAAAUCCAGUCUGCCUUGCGCAGGUGGGGGUUCAAUUCCCCCCUCCGGCACCA